Molecule: transfer RNA, 77 nt
Filed under: Firmicutes bacterium AF19-2LB
Lineage: Bacteria; Bacillati; Bacillota
Also listed under: 1 other name
Description: tRNA-Met
Rfam family: tRNA
About the family: Transfer RNA (tRNA) molecules are approximately 80 nucleotides in length. Their secondary structure includes four short double-helical elements and three loops (D, anti-codon, and T loops).
Source: RNAcentral
CGCGGAGUAGAGCAGUCCGGUAGCUCGUCGGGCUCAUAACCCGGAGGUCGCAGGUUCAAAUCCUGUCUCCGCAAUCA